This 352-nucleotide long non-coding RNA is filed under the name Homo sapiens (human). RNAcentral describes it as "non-protein coding lnc-ENO1-1:1". The record is from RNAcentral. Lineage: Eukaryota; Metazoa; Chordata; Mammalia; Primates; Hominidae.
CGAGAUGGUGAAAACAAGACCAAGAUUGGAAAGCCAGCUUCAGAGGAGGGAAUUACAGCAAAAAUUGAACCAUUGACAGAAGAGUCUAGCAGUCUCAGAGAGAAUGUUCUCCAGGAUUCUGAAGGCAGAGAAUUCUGUGAAUUUGGGGAUAAAUUAAAUGAAAAAGAUCAGAACGCCUUUAAAAGGAGACCUCAAAACUGUGACAAAUAUGGGCAAAGCUUUGUUUGGAGUACAAGCCUUUUUAGGCAUCGAAGAACCCAUGGUGAGAAAGCUUAUGAAUGUGGUAAGUGUGGAAAGGCCUUUAGUGUGAGCUCAGCCCUGGUUCUGCAUCAGAGAAAGCAUGCUCAUUUUU